CUGCACAGAGUCACAGACUGCCGCCGCCACGCUACAGCAGCGCCGAGAGCACCUUCUCCUCUUUCCACCUCCUCUCCACGCCCGCCUCCACAACCCGAUUCUCCGUAAGGACUGCAGGUGCUCACAACCUGCAGCCUCAACCGAGCCCAAGCGCUCACAGCGUCCAAGAAGCUCUCCACCUGAAGUCCGCCUGCAAACCCCGAUGCUCGCUCGCCCUCCUCUCCGCCGUCAGCCUCUCCCACCCCGAAAUUGCUCGCAUCCUCGCUGCCACCCUUCUUCCUCCUGGUCGGCUCUGUGGCCCGCCGCUCCACGGCUCCAGGCAUCACCCUUCUUUGGUUCCAUCAACGGAUUGACGAAGAAAGGCGUUGGUUUCUUUCCAAUAGUUUGUUAUGGCGAGAGGAUUUCAGAAGAACCGAGCAAGGAGCUCAUUCCAAGAAUCAGGCACUCCGGGAAGGCACCAGUGGCUGCAGUCCUGAUAUAGCUCAGGCGACUUCCGCUCCUCCUCGCUCAACUUCUGUCGGCGAUAGACUGAAGGGUGUGCCUCCUUUCUGUAGUCAGUCAUCCGAGUGAUGUUCAUGUAGACGACAGGAGUUUUCAUCUCAUGGAGCACCUCCUCCAGAAUGCUCAUCUUCUGUGGGUAUGGUACAAGGAAUUUACAAAAGCCUCUAUGAACCUGAAAUGGGACGCUGAGUAGCCUCUGAAGAAUACAGUUGUUCUCCUGGGGUUCACAUUGGCAUCAACCCACUUGGCCCAGGUGUUAAGAGCUCUCCGAUUGGUUACUGCCUGGAGGUCCUCUUCUGUGAGAAGCAGCACCGUUGCCGUGAAUCACCCCUGCAACAGCACUCCCAGUCUGAUUGAUGAGUGAAGCAGCAGUUCCAUUACUUGUUGUGGCUUCCCCUGAACCUGCACUCGUCUCGGAGCCAUUGAAGCGAACAGGCGCACCUCCUUUCGCCAUUGUGCCA
Brachypodium distachyon (stiff brome) is the source of this 962-nucleotide long non-coding RNA. RefSeq lists it as uncharacterized. The record is from RefSeq and is a predicted model, not a curated record. The transcript is spliced from 4 exons. NCBI's taxonomy places the organism in Eukaryota, Viridiplantae, Streptophyta, Magnoliopsida, Poales, Poaceae.